AUUGAACGCUGGCGGCAGGCCUAACACAUGCGAGUCGAGCGGAUGAAGGGAGCUUGCUCCUGGAUUCAGCGGCGGACGGGUGAGUAAUGCCUAGGAAUCUGCCUGGUAGUGGGGGAUAACGUCCGGAAACGGGCGCUAAUACCGCAUACGUCCUGAGGGAGAAAGUGGGGGAUCUUCGGACCUCACGCUAUCAGAUGAGCCUAGGUCGGAUUAGCUAGUUGGUGGGGUAAAGGCCUACCAAGGCGACGAUCCGUAACUGGUCUGAGAGGGUGAUCAGUCACACUGGAACUGAGACACGGUCCAGACUCCUACGGGAGGCAGCAGUGGGGAAUAUUGGACAAUGGGCGAAAGCCUGAUCCAGCCAUGCCGCGUGUGUGAAGAAGGUCUUCGGAUUGUAAAGCACUUUAAGUUGGGAGGAAGGGCAGUAAGUUAAUACCUUGCUGUUUGGACGUUACCAACAGAAUAAGCACCGGCUAACUUCGU
Molecule: ribosomal RNA, 483 nt
Filed under: uncultured bacterium
Lineage: Bacteria
Description: partial 16S ribosomal RNA
Rfam family: Bacterial small subunit ribosomal RNA
Source: RNAcentral